GAACUGAAGAGUUUGAUCAUGGCUCAGAUUGAACGCUGGCGGCAGGCCUAACACAUGCAAGUCGAGCGGAUGAAGGGAGCUUGCUCCUGGAUUUAGCGGCGGACGGGUGAGUAAUGCCUAGGAAUCUGCCUGGUAGUGGGGGAUAACGUCCGGAAACGGGCGCUAAUACCGCAUACGUCCUGAGGGAGAAAGUGGGGGAUCUUCG
RNAcentral lists this ribosomal RNA (205 nucleotides) under Pseudomonas aeruginosa. RNAcentral's name for it is "partial 16S ribosomal RNA". It matches the Rfam family "Bacterial small subunit ribosomal RNA", at positions 1 to 215 of the family's 1533-position model. The record is from RNAcentral. Lineage: Bacteria; Pseudomonadati; Pseudomonadota; Gammaproteobacteria; Pseudomonadales; Pseudomonadaceae.